AGAGGGAAGCUGGAUAAGAGGGCGUUAUCUGUCACCCCGUUGAUCACCAGGGCUGAUUCAGAUGGUCUCGUUGCCUAAUCAGGUGUCCCCUUCCUCCCUCACCACUCCAUGAGUAUCCCUCACCACUCCAUGAGUAUCCUUCCCCAAGCUGAGCACACGGUUGGAAGAGGAUGACCGCUGAUUGAAAGAAAACAUAUAGGAGUAGCUGCAUUCCCCUGGCAAGCUCUCAAAGCAAGGCUCUUUGUAUGACUUUAAAUGAUGACUCCAAAAUAUACCAAGUCAUUCAGACUUCU
RNAcentral lists this small nuclear RNA (293 nucleotides) under Echinops telfairi (small Madagascar hedgehog). Its description in RNAcentral is "7SK RNA (ENSETEG00000024929.1)". It matches the Rfam family "7SK RNA". From Rfam's summary of the family: 7SK was discovered as an abundant small nuclear RNA in the mid-70s but a possible function has only recently been suggested. Two independent studies have found that 7SK RNA binds the CDK9/cyclin T complex (known as elongation factor P-TEFb). The record is from RNAcentral. Lineage: Eukaryota; Metazoa; Chordata; Mammalia; Afrosoricida; Tenrecidae.